GAUGAACGCUGGCGGCGUGCCUAAUACAUGCAAGUCGAACGAGGUGCCUAAGUAGCAAUACGAGGGUAUCCUAGUGGCGAACGGGUGAGUAACGCGUUGGUGACCUACCCCAAAGUGUGGAAUAACAGUUCGAAAGGAUUGCUAAUACCGCAUGUGGUCAUUGGAUUUAGAAACUGAUGACUAAAGCCGUAAGGCGCUUUGGGAGGGGCCUGCGUCCCAUCAGCUAGUUGGUGAGGUAACGGCUUACCAAGGCUACGACGGGUAGGGGACCUGAGAGGGUGGCCCCCCACAAUGGAACUGAAACACGGUCCAUACACCUACGGGAGGCUG
This 330-nucleotide ribosomal RNA is filed under the name uncultured Chloroflexota bacterium. RNAcentral's name for it is "bacterial SSU rRNA". It matches the Rfam family "Bacterial small subunit ribosomal RNA", at positions 28 to 351 of the family's 1533-position model. The record is from RNAcentral. Lineage: Bacteria; Bacillati; Chloroflexota.